RNAcentral lists this ribosomal RNA (497 nucleotides) under uncultured bacterium. Its description in RNAcentral is "partial 16S ribosomal RNA". It matches the Rfam family "Bacterial small subunit ribosomal RNA", at positions 28 to 507 of the family's 1533-position model. The record is from RNAcentral.
GAUGAACGCUGGCGGCGUGCCUAAUACAUGCAAGUCGAGCGAACAGACGAGGAGCUUGCUCCUUUGACGUUAGCGGCGGACGGGUGAGUAACACGUAGGUAACCUACCUAUAAGACUGGGAUAACUUCGGGAAACCGGAGCUAAUACCGGAUAAUAUUUCGAACCGCAUGGUUCGAUAGUGAAAGAUGGCUUUGCUAUCACUUAUAGAUGGACCUGCGCCGUAUUAGCUAGUUGGUAAGGUAACGGCUUACCAAGGCAACGAUACGUAACCGACCUGAGAGGGUGAUAGGCCACACUGGAACUGAGACACGGUCCAGACUCCUACGGUAGGCAGCAGUAGAGUAUCUUCCGCAAUGGGCGAAAGCCUGGCGGAGCAACGCCGCGUGAGUGAUGAAGGUCUUCGGAUCGUAAUACUCUGUUAUUAGGGAAGAACAAACGUGUAAGUAACUGUGCACGUCUUGACGGUACCUAGUCAGAAAGCCACGGCUAACUACGUG